AGAUUGAACGCUGGCGGCAUGCCUUACACAUGCAAGUCGAACGGCAGCACGGGAGCAAUCCUGGUGGCGAGUGGCGAACGGGUGAGUAAUACAUCGGAACGUGCCCAAUCGUGGGGGAUAACGCAGCGAAAGCUGUGCUAAUACCGCAUAAGAUCUACGGAUGAAAGCAGGGGAUCGCAAGACCUUGCGCGAAUGGAGCGGCCGAUGGCAGAUUAGGUAGUUGGUGAGGUAAAGGCUCACCAAGCCUACGAUCCGUAACUGGUCUGAGAGGAUGAUCAGUCACACUGGAACUGAGACACGGUCCAGACUCCUACGGGAGCAGCAGUGGGGAAUAUGGACAAGUGGGACGAAAGCCUGAUCCAGCCAUGCCGCGUGUGUAGAAGAAGGUCUU
Molecule: ribosomal RNA, 391 nt
Filed under: uncultured soil bacterium
Lineage: Bacteria
Description: bacterial SSU rRNA
Rfam family: Bacterial small subunit ribosomal RNA
Source: RNAcentral